Molecule: long non-coding RNA, 1890 nt
Organism: Passer domesticus (house sparrow)
Lineage: Eukaryota; Metazoa; Chordata; Aves; Passeriformes; Passeridae
Exons: 2
Source: RefSeq, a predicted model, not a curated record
GGCAGCGCGAGCCGCGGGAUCCCUGACUGCAGGGGCUGGCAGCUCAAUUCCCGAGGCUGCGGAAAGGGGAAAGACAGAAAGCAAGGAUGGUAAUGAUCCCUGCUCUUGGCUGGCACGAAACCACAGACUGAACUAGGUUGGAAAAGACGUCAGUGAUCGUCAGCUGUGAGCAGCCUUGUCGAGUAGAGCCACGUCCAGCGCUCCCUCAGACACCUCCGGGACGGUGGCUGCACCGCCUCCCUGGGCAGCCCCUCGCCAUGUCCAGCCUCCGUUCCUGUGAGAAAUCUCGUCCUGACACCCAGCCCGAGCCUCCCCUGGCGCGGCUCCAGGCUGUGUCCCCGUGUCCUGUCCCUGGCUGCCCGGGAGAAGAGGCCGCCCCGCUCCUGGCCGCCGCCUCCGUUCAGGUGGUUGUGGAGAGCCAGGAGGUCACCCCCGAGCCCCCUGUUCCCCAGGCUAGAGAUACACACAUACCAUUUUUCCCCCACCAAUUUCCUCAGCAGGGUGUUUUUUCUACCUCUCCAGGCCUCUUCUCUCACCUGUGAGCCCUUUACUGAGACUAAAGCUGUUGUUACACGGACAAAGCAACAGUUGUUUUGGCAAAGCAACUUACCGUCAUCUUUUUUUGUCUUACUGAUGUUACAUUGGAUACUCUCAGGAAGCAAAUAUUUAAACUCAUUUUGAAUGAAUAUGUAGGCAAAUGUCUUCCACAUUUAUUAGCACCAUCAUCAACUACAAAUGGUAACCCAUUGUCAAAAUUCAAGUCCCCCAAUUUCAACAGAUCUUUAUAUUUUUGUGUAUUCCUCUUGCAUUUUCAAUGUGCCUUACUAAUAGCAGACUCUGUAUUAGUCUCCUUUUGACUGCCUACUAACAAGCAGUUAUUGAAAGCAUUUGUAAUUUGCAUGUACAUAAAUGAACCACUUCAGUUUUCUCCUUAGCAUCCUUCUAGAUGAACGACUAGUGCCAAAAAGAAAAAAAAAAGAAAAAAAAAAAAGAAAGAAAGAAAUGGCUGAAGAAAUAUCCUCUGCUGUCUCUGGGAAAGUCGCACUAGUAGCACUUUGGUGGGGUGGUGCACCAGCACACGCUAUCAGUAUUUCUGUAUUGGCACAGCAGUUGCAGUGUGUGCAGCCAUAGAGACUGAGAAUGCAGGCUCCAGGGAUCUCUGGUUAUGCAAUGGUAUAAUACAACAUAUGUGGGUGGGUGUAAGCCUGAACCCAAAACAGCAUGGUUACUGAAGAUAUACUGCAUCGCUGGUGCUCAUACUGCCGUUCCCUCACGGGUUCAGACACUAUUUGUUGAAUGUUCUGCUGUAGACAAGGCAAAAAGACUUUUUUUUUUUGCAAAUGUAUCUGAAAUUAUCUAAAGUGCGAGCAAAUAGCUUGACAUUUUGUAGUUCCUGCAGAGGAUUCUCACACCCUAAAAACAGUAUUGUUUAUUCAGAGCAUCUCAGUCUCCUUGUGUAGCCUGUUGAUUUGUUGCUCUUGUGGAUGGUAAGAAGGAGGAGCAAAAUUCAGAUUUCACUGGCAGCAUUAGAACUGGUAGGAUGUUUGGAUCAGCAGUGGGACAUGGAUCUUCAACUGUGUGCCAUUGGUGCAGAUCCUGCUGAAGACAUUAAAUAGCUGGUUUAAUAAAUCAUUAAUCAAAUUUAAAACAUUUUAAUUUGUGCCACUGGUGCAAAUCCAAGUAAGGUCAAGAGACUAGCUGGCUCAAUGGUUAAGUGAUAGAAAACAAAGUUGUACCUCCAGCUUAUUCAUGUGAGUCUGUAAAGAGUCAGGAAACUAAGGCUGAGACCUUGAAAUAAAAAGAUUUUCCAAUUCAGCUAUUGUUUUAAAGUCAGUCUAUUACAGGUUAUUACUUUAUGAUAUGUUUAAAUACUCUGUGUUGAUCUAUAAA